GGGAAUGUGGUUCAAGUGAUAGAACACCUAUCUAGCAAGCAUGAGAUCUUGAGUUCAAACCUCAGCACUGCUC
This 73-nucleotide transfer RNA is filed under the name Dipodomys ordii (Ord's kangaroo rat). It matches the Rfam family "tRNA". From Rfam's summary of the family: Transfer RNA (tRNA) molecules are approximately 80 nucleotides in length. Their secondary structure includes four short double-helical elements and three loops (D, anti-codon, and T loops). Lineage: Eukaryota; Metazoa; Chordata; Mammalia; Rodentia; Heteromyidae. The record is from Rfam by way of RNAcentral.